RNAcentral lists this ribosomal RNA (1263 nucleotides) under Salmonella enterica subsp. enterica serovar Typhimurium. RNAcentral describes it as "bacterial LSU rRNA". It matches the Rfam family "Bacterial large subunit ribosomal RNA", at positions 980 to 2144 of the family's 2925-position model. The record is from RNAcentral. Lineage: Bacteria; Pseudomonadati; Pseudomonadota; Gammaproteobacteria; Enterobacterales; Enterobacteriaceae.
GGAGACACACGGCGGGUGCUAACGUCCGUCGUGAAGAGGGAAACAACCCAGACCGCCAGCUAAGGUCCCAAAGUCAUGGUUAAGUGGGAAACGAUGUGGGAAGGCCCAGACAGCCAGGAUGUUGGCUUAGAAGCAGCCAUCAUUUAAAGAAAGCGUAAUAGCUCACUGGUCGAGUCGGCCUGCGCGGAAGAUGUAACGGGGCUAAACCAUGCACCGAAGCUGCGGCAGCGAACGUAUCACUUAAAGCGAUUCAGCGGGUUACGAUUGACGGAGCGAAGCGACGUCAAAGCGUAUACAAAGUCGAGUCGGUUUAAGGAUACGUUCGUUGGGUAGGGGAGCGUUCUGUAAGCCCGUGAAGGUGGCCUGUGAGGGUUGCUGGAGGUAUCAGAAGUGCGAAUGCUGACAUAAGUAACGAUAAAGCGGGUGAAAAGCCCGCUCGCCGGAAGACCAAGGGUUCCUGUCCAACGUUAAUCGGGGCAGGGUGAGUCGACCCCUAAGGCGAGGCCGAAAGGCGUAGUCGAUGGGAAACGGGUUAAUAUUCCCGUACUUGGUGUUACUGCGAAGGGGGGACGGAGAAGGCUAUGUUGGCCGGGCGACGGUUGUCCCGGUUUAAGCGUGUAGGUGUGUGUUCCAGGUAAAUCCGGUUCACUUUAACACUGAGGCGUGACGACGAGGCACUACGGUGCUGAAGCAACAAAUGCCCUGCUUCCAGGAAAAGCCUCUAAGCAUCAGGUAACACGAAAUCGUACCCCAAACCGACACAGGUGGUCAGGUAGAGAAUACCAAGGCGCUUGAGAGAACUCGGGUGAAGGAACUAGGCAAAAUGGUGCCGUAACUUCGGGAGAAGGCACGCUGACACGUAGGUGAAGUGAUUUACUCAUGGAGCUGAAGUCAGUCGAAGAUACCAGCUGGCUGCAACUGUUUAUUAAAAACACAGCACUGUGCAAACACGAAAGUGGACGUAUACGGUGUGACGCCUGCCCGGUGCCGGAAGGUUAAUUGAUGGGGUCAGCGUAAGCGAAGCUCCUGAUCGAAGCCCCGGUAAACGGCGGCCGUAACUAUAACGGUCCUAAGGUAGCGAAAUUCCUUGUCGGGUAAGUUCCGACCUGCACGAAUGGCGUAAUGAUGGCCAGGCUGUCUCCACCCGAGACUCAGUGAAAUUGAACUCGCUGUGAAGAUGCAGUGUACCCGCGGCAAGACGGAAAGACCCCGUGAACCUUUACUAUAGCUUGACACUGAACAUUGAGCCUUGAUGUGUAGGAU